ACGGGGUGCAGCCCGCGCGAAACCUCCGCAAUGCGGGAAACCGCGACGGGGUCAGCCGGAGUGCUCGCGCAUCGCGCGGGCUGUCGGGGUGCCUAAAAAGCACCCCACAGCAAGGGCCGGGCAAGGCCGGUGGCAGCCGCCGCGGUAAUACCGGCGGCCCGAGUGGCGGCCACUUUUAUUGGGCCUAAAGCGUCCGUAGCCGGGCUGGUAAGUCCUCCGGGGAAUCUGGCGGCUUAACCGUCAGACUGCCGGAGGAUACUGCCAACCUAGGGACCGGGAGAGGCCGGGGGUAUUCCCGGAGUAGGGGUGAAAUCCUGUAAUCCCGGGAGGACCACCUGUGGCGAAGGCGCCCCGCUGGAACGGGUCCGACGGUGAGGGACGAAGGCCAGGGGAGCAAACCGGAUUAGAUACCCGGGUAGUCCUGGCUGUAAAGGAUGCGGGCUAGGUGUCGGGUGAGCUUCGGGCUCGCCCGGUGCCGUAGGGAAGCCGUUAAGCCCGCCGCCUGGGGAGUACGGCCGCAAGGCUGAAACUUAAAGGAAUUGGCGGGGGAG
This 551-nucleotide ribosomal RNA is filed under the name uncultured archaeon. RNAcentral describes it as "bacterial SSU rRNA". It matches the Rfam family "Archaeal small subunit ribosomal RNA", at positions 325 to 876 of the family's 1478-position model. The record is from RNAcentral.